GGGUCAGUAGGUUGGUCGUGCCACCGGUACGUACUGGUCUCACUGAUUCCUCCUUCCUGAAGAACCGUGAUGCCAUUAAUUUGGUGUUGCGGGGAAACAGGACUGUUACUUUGAAAAAAUUAGUGUGUUUAAAGCAAGCUAACGCUUGAAUACAUUAGCAUGGAAUAAUGAAAUAGGACGAUCGAUCCUAUUUUGUUGGUUUCUAGGAUUGACGUA
Molecule: ribosomal RNA, 216 nt
Filed under: Glomeromycotina sp.
Lineage: Eukaryota; Fungi; Glomeromycota
Description: partial small subunit ribosomal RNA
Rfam family: Eukaryotic small subunit ribosomal RNA (bases 40-216)
Source: RNAcentral